This 1047-nucleotide long non-coding RNA is filed under the name Sorghum bicolor (sorghum). RNAcentral describes it as "long non-coding RNA (SBIC_LNC009085)". Lineage: Eukaryota; Viridiplantae; Streptophyta; Magnoliopsida; Poales; Poaceae. The record is from RNAcentral.
CUGUCUUGAGUGAUUAAAAGAUAGAACAGUCUAGUCAAGUGCCAUGUCUCUUAUUCUUGAUCAGCUAUAGCUCCGGAGUUUUUGCAAAUUUUGAAAUAAAACUCAAAGAUUCCUUGUAUGACUCACUCAGAUCUCUCUUUUGUGGUAUUUUUGGAUCCUUACCAAGGCAGUGAUGGUAUAUGCCUUCUCUUAAAAUAUGUGGUAUUUGUGAUAUGAAGCAUAUUGCCUUCUCUCUCACCCUACUCUAAUAAGGCUUUAAUAUCUGGAGCUCAUAGGUGGGAGAUAAAGUAUACAUACUUACAACACAUUUAUUGUAUAGUCAAACCAUGGAUCCAAAGAAACAAAUCAAUAAGCCAAAUCAAGAUGUGCAUGUGUGGCGAAUGAAUGGUGUAUGGUGAUAAUGGUGAUAACAAUGGUGAAAGUCUAAUUCUACAUUUGCUCUUUUGAGGAGAUACAUACCUUCCUUGCUUUUUGAAACUUUGUGAGGAGAAUGAGAUGCUCUUCUUUUUCUUUUCUCUCAGGUGGGUAUCUUGUACCCCUAAUUCUACUGUCGGACACUUGUCCAUUUUUACCUCUCGUCUCACUUUUUCUUUUCUUUCGAGGUUUCGGGCACUUGCCCCUUUUUAUUUCCUCGUAUACUUUUUUCUCUCUUCUUCUUUUUUUAGAGCACUCAUCUCUUGACAUAAUAUAGCAAGUGGUAGUAACAAGAUAACUUGAGCAUUUAUUUUACAGGGGAAAACAGAAAUGUUUUUGGCUAUUCUCUCCCGGAUUAGGAGUAGAAUAUUUUUGGGCGGUUCUGGAGAUGGAAAUGAGUGGAUAUAUGUGUAUGGUACUUCCGAAGUAGAAGCAGCAUAUGUGAGUGAACGUGCAAGUGAAUCUUGAUUUAACCACAUGACAAGCUCCUAAGGGUCUACACAGCUUGACCACACUCAAUGCUCAUAAGCACUAAAAUUAAAUGUGUGGCUCAAAGUCUAGCAAGCAUGUAUGUAUGGUUGUGGUAGGAUUUUUAACUCUCAUCAUACAGGAACACAUCAUACAAUAUUUUAA